Long non-coding RNA from Medicago truncatula (barrel medic), 1361 nucleotides. RefSeq lists it as uncharacterized. NCBI's taxonomy places the organism in Eukaryota, Viridiplantae, Streptophyta, Magnoliopsida, Fabales, Fabaceae. The transcript is spliced from 3 exons. The record is from RefSeq and is a predicted model, not a curated record.
UAUCUCUCUCUUCUUCUCUCAGACGUCAUCCUCUCUUCUUCACCUUGGUCAUCACCUGCAAAUUCCUUCCUCACCAAUCCCUCAAAAUCAAGCACAUGCAUGAAUGAAAAUCAUAAACCCAUCAUCAAAGAAACCCAUUUCCAGUAAUAUUUUGCUCUAAUUCUCCAUUUUCCCUCCUGUUUAGAAUCAAACCAAAAACCCCCACAUUUCUAUUCUUCAAACCCUCCUAUUGCAUGUACGAAAUUCUCAUGAAAAUCAAGCUUUGGAUGUCUAGAAACUGAGGGUGGACCCUGCAGGUUUGACAUAGCCAUACAAACCGGUAAGUGAGAUGUUCGGAACAUGAGGGUCGUCUUUUCAUGUCACUCUGAUUCCCUGGAGGCUUAGGAGCACUUAAAGAAACUGAUUUUAAACAUUUGGUUUGAAGUAGGAGAGCUUGGAAAGAAAUUGAAGAAUAAGCAUAAGCUGAAGCAAGAAUGUAGGAGCUUGAGACUUAAAGUUUGGAGAUAAGCUAGUGAAGGCAAGGUCUCUGUGAUGUUUAUGCAUAUUGGGCUGACAAGAACAAGUAGGAAAUUGGAUUUAGGGGACUGGAGAAGACAGAAGCAAGAGCUUGGCAGACAGAGGCUUAAGUUGAAGGUGGAGCUUAAGCUGUUGAAAGUGGUUAGAUAAGUCGCGAGUCCCAUGAGUUAAACGUGUAAACCUAUGGAUUGGAGACAAAGAAGAGACAUGAAAUUGCAUGCAUAAAGUUGUUGAACAGACAAAUGCAGAAAUACAGAAGAAGAAAUUAUGGAUUUUACAUAUCUUGUAUAGAAGACUACAUACCAAUAACAAAAUUUGUUGAUUUAUAUCCUCCAAUGGACCACUUGCAUCAUCACAAAUUUAGAGCAUGGAGCACAAUUAUGGAGAUAAAUCUCAGAAUGAAGGACAAAUUUAUAGAUAUGCAUAAAUAAUAGAAAGAAAAAACAACAGCAGUUCACUUAGCGAAGAGAGUAUGAAGGGUUCAAGUGAUUCACAUACCAAAGAGAGCGUAUGGAGGGUUCAGGGGAUGGAAUGCACUUCAACAAAGGCAACAUGUAUAUAUAGAAAAAUAUAAAUCCAAAUAAGACAAACUUGCAUAGUAGGUUUGUAACCUAUAUUGUAGCUUUGUAGGUAUUAUAUGAGGAAGGCUUAUUUAGCAAAGUGGAUGAAAAAAAAGACAACCAUUGCAAGUGGAUGUUGAUUAAUUUGAAAAAUGCCCAAUGCGGGAAGCCUACCAUAUCAUUUUACAUACAAAAACAAAGAUAUUAUAUUAUAAUUUAUUCGUGUUUGAACAGUGGUCUUUUGAGAUGACUGUUGUUAAGAUUAUUGAUAAGUUUGUUUUUUAC